GGGGGGGGGGGGGGGCGGGGGGAGGGCGGGCAAGUCGAGCGAACCUUUCGGGGGUGGGGGCGGGCGGGGGGGGAACACGUGGGAACGGGCCUUUAGGUGCGGAAUAACUCAGGGAAACUUGUGCUAAUACCGAAUGUGCCCUUCGGGGGAAAGAUUUAUCGCCUUUAGAGCGGCCCGCGUCUGAUUAGCUAGUUGGUUGAGGUAAUGGCUCACCAAGGCGACGAUCAGUAGCUGGUCUGAGAGGAUGAUCAGCCACAUUGGGACUGAGACACGGCCCAAACUCCUACGGGAGGCAGCAGUGGGGAAUCUUGCGCAAUGGGCGAAAGCCUGACGCAGCCAUGCCGCGUGAAUGAUGAAGGUCUUAGGAUUGUAAAAUUCUUUCACCGGGGACGAUAAUGACGGUACCCGGAGAAGAAGCCCCGGCUAACUUCGUG
RNAcentral lists this ribosomal RNA (434 nucleotides) under uncultured bacterium. Its description in RNAcentral is "partial 16S ribosomal RNA". It matches the Rfam family "Bacterial small subunit ribosomal RNA", at positions 38 to 507 of the family's 1533-position model. The record is from RNAcentral.